Molecule: long non-coding RNA, 1020 nt
Organism: Lontra canadensis (Northern American river otter)
Lineage: Eukaryota; Metazoa; Chordata; Mammalia; Carnivora; Mustelidae
Exons: 4
Source: RefSeq, a predicted model, not a curated record
GAGAGGCUCGUGUCAGUGGAAGUCGGGGUGUCGGCUGCCCGCCGCGGGAAGGCCUAGCGGUGCCUGCGGGAGGUGGAAAAGGAGGGGGGUCAGAGGUCAGUCCAGAGAGAAGGUGGCGAGCUGAAGCGGCGGCCAGUUACGUGGCGGACCUGCGGGUCUCAGCUGGCACGUCACUUCCGACUGGUUGAGUUUUAGCCUUUUAACAUUCCAGGAUUAGGUAACCAUUCCGAGGAGGAAGAGUAUUUCAAAAAGUCUGUGAAGAAUGUGUUUGCCUGGAGACUGAUUAUUAACAAGAUUUUAUGCUGAAUAUGGAAGGAAAGGCACACAACCAAGUUUCCAGUCUCCUAACUUCACAGAUUCCUGUGGUGUGGACUUGUGCCAUUCCUCCCCGCUGAGGGAGGAGGGUCUUGCCAGGCUACUGCCUUUUACAAGGCCCCUGCUUGGAGAAUGGUUGUACCAUUGUGCAGCAGUUCAUGGUUUAUGGCAACAUGGAACAAAAAACUGAUUCCUAGACUGGUGUUUCGGCCAGCUUCCCUGAAACGACUGCAUUCAGACAUCCUGGCUUUUUCUGACCCCUGGUAUCUUGUGACAACAUUGUCCUACCUGGAAUCCACCCCACUUUGCUACCAGAGCAACUUAAAGCCAGGGAUGUCUCCAAGUGUAGCAGACUUCUAAAACUUAGGAUUUUGUACUCCAUUGCCUGUAAAAUAGUUUCCGGUAGACCCCUUAAGCUCCCUCCUUUCCUUGGUUUAUCUCCCAAUAUAUCUCGCCCCGGAUGCACAUCUCUGCACUUUCUACCUUGUAAAAAGUGGUUGCUUUUUCUAUUUGUAGAAUUGCAGUAAUUCUUUUCUCAGAUCUCCAAUUGAUUUCAUAGGUGUUCAGAAUGAUUUUGCAACGAUCUAGUUGAAUUCCAGGGACCAGACAAAAUUAGGAUCCCAUACUCCUCUGCCAUCUUAAAUCCUACUGACCCAUUUAUUCUUUAGUAGGGUACUCUUUAUCAUCCAUGUAUUUGUGGUCCUU